GAUGAACGCUGGCGGCGUGCCUAAUACAUGCAAGUCGAGCGAACGGACGAGAAGCUUGCUUCUCUGAUGUUAGCGGCGGACGGGUGAGUAACACGUGGAUAACCUACCUAUAAGACUGGGAUAACUUCGGGAAACCGGAGCUAAUACCGGAUAAUAUUUUGAACCGCAUGGUUCAAAAGUGAAAGACGGUCUUGCUGUCACUUAUAGAUGGAUCCGCGCUGCAUUAGCUAGUUGGUAAGGUAACGGCUUACCAAGGCAACGAUGCAUAGCCGACCUGAGAGGGUGAUCGGCCACACUGGAACUGAGACACGGUCCAGACUCCUACGGGAGGCAGCAGUAGGGAAUCUUCCGCAAUGGGCGAAAGCCUGACGGAGCAACGCCGCGUGAGUGAUGAAGGUCUUCGGAUCGUAAAACUCUGUUAUUAGGGAAGAACAUAUGUGUAAGUAACUGUGCACAUCUUGACGGUACCUCAUCAGAAAGCCACGGCUAACUACGUG
This 497-nucleotide ribosomal RNA is filed under the name uncultured bacterium. RNAcentral describes it as "partial 16S ribosomal RNA". It matches the Rfam family "Bacterial small subunit ribosomal RNA", at positions 28 to 507 of the family's 1533-position model. The record is from RNAcentral.